UGGGGAAUAUUGGACAAUGGGCGAAAGCCUGAUCCAGCCAUGCCGCGUGUGUGAAGAAGGUCUUCGGAUUGUAAAGCACUUUAAGUUGGGAGGAAGGGCAGUAAGCGAAUACCUUGCUGUUUUGACGUUACCGACAGAAUAAGCACCGGCUAACUCUGUGCCAGCAGCCGCGGUAAUACAGAGGGUGCAAGCGUUAAUCGGAAUUACUGGGCGUAAAGCGCGCGUAGGUGGUUCGUUAAGUUGAAUGUGAAAGCCCCGGGCUCAACCUGGGAACUGCAUCCAGAACUGGCGAGCUAGAGUAGGGCAGAGGGUGGUGGAAUUUCCUGUGUAGCGGUGAAAUGCGUAGAUAUAGGAAGGAACACCAGUGGCGAAGGCGACCACCUGGGCGCAUACUGACACUGAGGGGCGAAAGCGUGGGGAGCAAACAGG
This 429-nucleotide ribosomal RNA is filed under the name Pseudomonadota bacterium. RNAcentral describes it as "Proteobacteria bacterium partial 16S ribosomal RNA". It matches the Rfam family "Bacterial small subunit ribosomal RNA", at positions 355 to 776 of the family's 1533-position model. Lineage: Bacteria; Pseudomonadati; Pseudomonadota. The record is from RNAcentral.